AUGAACGCUGGCGGCGUGCUUAACACAUGCAAGUCGAGCGAAGCACUAAAGCGGAUUUCUUCGGAUUGAAGGUUUAGUGACUGAGCGGCGGACGGGUGAGUAACGCGUGGGUAACCUGCCUCAUACAGGGGGAUAACAGUUGGAAACGGCUGCUAAUWCCGCAUAAGCGCACAGUACCGCAUGGUACGGUGUGAAAAACUCCGGUGGUAUGAGAUGGACCCGCGUCUGAUUAGGUAGUUGGUGGGGUAACGGCCUACCAAGCCGACGAUCAGUAGCCGACCUGAGAGGGUGACCGGCCACAUUGGGACUGAGACACGGCCCAAACUCCUACGGGAGGCAGCAGUGGGGAAUAUUGCACAAUGGGGGAAACCCUGAUGCGGCGACGCCGCGUGAGCGAAGAAGUAUUUCGGUAUGUAAAGCUCUAUC
RNAcentral lists this ribosomal RNA (426 nucleotides) under uncultured bacterium. Its description in RNAcentral is "bacterial SSU rRNA". It matches the Rfam family "Bacterial small subunit ribosomal RNA", at positions 29 to 437 of the family's 1533-position model. The record is from RNAcentral.